CAGUAGCCGCGGUAAUACGUAUGUCACGAGCGUUAUCCGGAUUUAUUGGGCGUAAAGCGCGUCUAGGUGGUUAUGUAAGUCUGAUGUGAAAAUGCAGGGCUCAACUCUGUAUUGCGUUGGAAACUGUAUAACUAGAGUACUGGAGAGGUAAGCGGAACUACAAGUGUAGAGGUGAAAUUCGUAGAUAUUUGUAGGAAUGCCGAUGGGGAAGCCAGCUUACUGGACAGAUACUGACGCUGAAGCGCGAAAGCGUGGGUAGCAAACAGGAUUAGAUACCCCCGUAGUCCCUGUCUCUUAUACA
RNAcentral lists this ribosomal RNA (301 nucleotides) under uncultured bacterium. Its description in RNAcentral is "partial 16S ribosomal RNA". It matches the Rfam family "Bacterial small subunit ribosomal RNA", at positions 509 to 808 of the family's 1533-position model. The record is from RNAcentral.